Molecule: ribosomal RNA, 253 nt
Filed under: uncultured bacterium
Lineage: Bacteria
Description: partial 16S ribosomal RNA
Rfam family: Bacterial small subunit ribosomal RNA
Source: RNAcentral
UACGUAGGGUGCAAGCGUUGUCUGGAAUUAUUGGGCGUAAAGAGCUCGUAGGCGGUUUGUCGCGUCUGCUGUGAAAACUCAGGGCUUAACUCUGAGCUUGCAGUGGGUACGGGCAGACUAGAGUGCGGUAGGGGAGACUGGAAUUCCUGGUGUAGCGGUGAAAUGCGCAGAUAUCAGGAGGAACACCGGUGGCGAAGGCGGGUCUCUGGGCCGUAACUGACGCUGAGGAGCGAAAGCAUGGGGAGCGAACAGG